RNAcentral lists this ribosomal RNA (442 nucleotides) under uncultured bacterium. RNAcentral describes it as "partial 16S ribosomal RNA". It matches the Rfam family "Bacterial small subunit ribosomal RNA", at positions 338 to 795 of the family's 1533-position model. The record is from RNAcentral.
CCUACGGGUGGCAGCAGUGGGGAAUAUUGCGCAAUGGGCGAAAGCCUGACGCAGCGACGCCGCGUGCGGGAUGAAGGCCUUCGGGUUGUAAACCGCUGUCGGGAGGGACGAAGUUCUGACGGUACCUCCAAAGGAAGCACCGGCUAACUCUGUGCCAGCAGCCGCGGUAAUACAGAGGGUGCAAGCGUUGUCCGGAAUCACUGGGCGUAAAGGGCGCGUAGGCGGCCUGGUAAGUCGGGGGUGAAACGCUGCGGCUCAACCGCAGCACUGCCUUCGAGACUGCUGGGGUUGAGCACGGUAGAGGCUGGUGGAAUUCCCGGUGUAGCGGUGGAAUGCGUAGAGAUCGGGAAGAACAUCGGUGGCGAAGGCGGAUUUCCGGACUAGUACUGACGCUGAGGCGCGAAAGCUAGGGGAGCGAACGGGAUUAGAUACCCCAGUAGUC